Long non-coding RNA from Dermacentor albipictus, 548 nucleotides. RefSeq lists it as uncharacterized. Lineage: Eukaryota; Metazoa; Arthropoda; Arachnida; Ixodida; Ixodidae. The record is from RefSeq and is a predicted model, not a curated record.
AAAAUGGCUGCGUUUGCGUAAAUUCCUUUGAUGAUAACACGCCUGUCGAUGACUUGGCAUAUGAUCUUGAUUCGGCAAACACGUACGCACGUUGCUGCGGCUUCCCCUAACGUCCAGAAACCACCCCCUUGUUAUGGAUAUAUAUACUGGGCUCGGCUUCGAUGCCUCGGAAGAAGCACGCUAUCAGACGAAAAGUAAGAGUUUUCCACAGCCUUCUGCAAGAUGAAGUCCCAAACUACUGCCCUGGUCCUUCUGGUCUCCCUGUGCGUGGCGUCUAUACCAGCCAUGGCUUCUUGCCCCAGCAAUGAGGGUGUCGGCAGUGACUGCUCCUUCAGCCAGUGUACGCCAGAUGAAUGCGAGGCCGAGGGCCUUGAGUGCUGCCCCAAACCAUGUGGUGGUUCCUGGUGCGUUGAAGGGGUUCACUAGCAGCUUGACGCAACAAUAUUCGAAGCGAUGUCUGCAGCACUUCCUCGUCUGGCCAGGUGGAUCGCACUCCAGUAUUGCCCCGUUUUUGCUGCAGCAUGGAAUGAACGCUUGUCGCAACAUGA